CUCUCCUUUCCCACUCCUCAGCCUUCACCCCUCGCCCCGACUCCUAUCUCUCUUCCUCCCGUCCCCCACGCCGCCCUGCUUCCUCUCCUCACGUCGCCGUCGACCACCCUCCCCGCCUACCGGCCAUCCUCUCCGCCCGCCGCCGUCGCAAACCAUCCUCCCCGUCCGCCGCCGCCUCGCUCUCGUGUCCACGCCCGCGCCCGCGAUUUCCCCCUCCCUGCUUUUGCCGCCGGCGCGCGUCCUCUCCGUCAGCCCCCUCUCGCCACCCCCGACACCCCUUCUCCUCUAGCGCCAGGAGGGAAGGACCCACUCCCUCGUCCAGUUCUUGACGGACGAGGGGGCCAUCCCAACACCCGAGGAGGAGGAAACGAGGGCGCAGGUCAUCCGCGAGCUCAAGAAGAUUGUGACGGAUUGGACCAAGGCGGUGGCCUGUGAGGAGAGGGUUCCCCCGAGGCGAGUGACGGCUGUGGUCCUGACCUAUGUUUCUUACACGUUAGGGGGUUUGGACAUCAAUGCUAUUCUCAAUUUUGUGGCUUUCGUACCGUUCUCUUGGGAAUGAUUGUUCUGUGUGAUCUAUCAUGGUUAUUCUCUUCAACAUCCAGUCCUAUGCUAGCAAGAGUGAUGACACAAGUGGACAUGCCAAGCAAAUAUGUCCUGCUUGGAUCAUAUAUGCUUCUGUAACAACACUGAUUCAGAUAUCAUUGAAGCUGCCUAAACAACAUGUGCUUUUGCGGAUACAGAUUGAUACCUCAUGUUAAUUGGCUGGUGGCAGUGGCGACGCAUCAAGGUGCAAGGCAGCGGCGGCAAGUUCAUACUACGGGAAAGGAAGAUCUCCUACUAUUUUUUAUGCUCCAUGGCAUAGACAUUUGAUUAAAUCAAAGGCAACAGGGCUAUCUGAUAUGUUAUCGGCGUCUAAAACCCAUCUUAAGUUUUGUAUCUCUUGAUUCGGUCAUUUACUCUGGUAAAAAGUGUUAAUGAUGGAGAAAUGGGUGAGUUAAAUAAUGCAAACCAGCAAACUAUAGAUGGAUUAGUUACGUGUGCAUCUAACCGAAGUUUGUAUAUCAUGAUGAUCAUCACUUCUAAGUGAAUACUGUCUAUUACCAGUCAAAUGUACCUAUCUAUUCUCUUUGCCUUUCACCUGCCUUUAUAUAAUGUCUGUCACCGGGUUAGUUAAAACGGACUGUAUGGGGUGCGGCUGGCAGUAGGUGUCUCGCCUCCUCUGAUUCACCCUGUUGCACCUCUUUUCCAUCCUCUGAUUCACCCUACUGUGCAGUAGGUGCCUCGCCUCCUCAGCACUCAACAAGAGCCAAGAAGAGAUGCUGAAACAAAUUCAAGAGGAUCGAGAUGUGCUUAUGUUCUACCAUUUUGCUUUCAAGAGGGGAAGAUAAAGAGGAGGCAUGGUGAAGAGGAGAAGUGGAAGAAGGCCAUCAACUAUGCACCUACCAGCUCUUCCUCGCCUGGGUACUACCGCACAUGCAUUUUCUGAUAAGCGAAAGAGGGAGGCAUGAUGGGCAAUAUAGCGCAGUGGAUGUCACUUUAUAAUAAGUUGGAUUUGUGGUAAGUUGAAUUAUGUUUCCUUUGUUUGCAUACAUCAUGUUUCAUUCUUAUAUAACCCAGCCACCCAGGUUGCUCUCUCUCUCCCUCUCUCUGAUGUCAACUUGAUUUCCUCAUUUUUUUUAGUACUGUAGGCUUUGCUUAUCAAAUUGCAAUUGUUUAUGGUGAUUUUUAUAAUAUAUGUUUCUAAUCUAAUCUCUUUGUGCUGAAUUAAUUGUUGUGGUCACAAGUUAAUCUUUUGGCAUGUCUUCACUGAAGGAGGCUUGUGGGUUUACCUUAAGCAUCUUAUCUUAAACAAUGGUCAACAUUAACUAUUCAGUUAGGCACCCAGUAGAGGUUUACCUAUCAUUGUAUCAAAGAGCUUACUGUUUCCAUUUGCUCAGCAAAGUUUUGAGAUAUUCCAUCAUAACUAUCUAAUUGUAAUGCUUUUAUGAUGCAGGACUAAUAUCUUGUGAUGUGGCUUUCUUGUAUCCCAUUUGCCCUGCUGCUCCUAAAAGAGAUACCAUUUUGUUGGUGUUUACUGGUUAAUCCUUUUGCAUAUUUUUAUGGAUGGAUACUCGAUGUGCUCGGUUCAUAUCGUUGCUGAUACUUGCCUUCUCUUGCUGAUUUCCCAAAUCAUGCACAUAGCUAUUUUAGUAUGGGUUAGGCAAUAUCCCUUUGUAAAAAAAAAUAUGUAUGUCACCUUUUGUAUGAGUGAAAUAUUCAUCAGCAUUGUAGUGGACAUAUGCUCUUUGUACUAAGUUUGAUGUUUUCUACUGAACCAUAUUUAGCUUGUAAUGGAUUUCGAUUCUUUGUACAAGACUAAUGCUUACCUGAGAAAUAGCGGAUGUUGGAUCAUUGCCUUAGACAGUCUUCCUCAUGUUUCUUUGAGAAAUCUUUUUUUGUACCACCUUCAUUGCAAUUCCUCAUGUGUCUUUGAGAAAUCUAAUGCUGGAUCAGUGGCUCAAUUUUUCCUUUUGUAUCUAUUUGGCGCCGCUCUACCUAUAUCUUUUUUUGUACCACCUUCAUUGCAAUUACGAGUACAACGUUUGGUCGGACAUAAGGUUGGACUGCUUUGAGUUGUUUACAUGGCUCGCUUUGAGUUGUUUUAAUUUUGAUGAAAAUGCCUGUUGGAUUGUUACAUUGUGAUGUUGUUCUUGCAUCUUUGAUUUGAUACCUUUAUUACCAGGUUGGAUACGACCGCACCCGGCAGGGGUGCGGGGGUGCGGCAAGCUCCAGGUUCAUCGCUCGCCAGGUUCCUCUUCGGUCAUCGCUACGCAUCUCAGCUCCGGUAACCAGGUCGCGGUGGCUGACGAUGACAACACGGCAGCGGCUGGUCCCCCUUCGAGCUCGCGCAUCUGAUCCGCCCAGAGGCGUCGCCAUUGAACGCAGGAGGGCCGUAUUGCAGCCAAAUUCAAGGACAGCCGCUGCUGUGGCCUGUGGAGUUGCAAGUGGAAGGUUGGGGUGGCGAUGGCAGCUGCAGCGGGACGGGCGGUGUCUGCAACAAGCAGUUCCUCAUCUUGGCAUCUGAUGAAAAUGAUCAUCUGGUGACGAACACCUCAUCCUUCUCUUCUUUGGCCCUCGCUUGAGUGAGAGUAGUGCCAGUGAUUCCCAAGCGAAGAACAGAAUCUAUGAUGUUCCACUGAGAGAAUACAGUUAAAGGUUCUUGAGGGCGGGUGCUGAUCUGGCGGGGAUCAAGGAGCUGGCCAGAACUACACCUACUAUUGCAUCAGCAUCCUUGCAAGCCCACCUCGAAGAGGAGCACCCCUCCGAGCCCCACCCCGCUGUUUGUACCCCUAGGUUGCUGCGUCGUCCUCGUCUUCGGCUUGCAAGGGAUUGGAUCCGGUGUGAUUGAUUCUUCCACUCGCAAGGUUAUGAUGGCCGACGAACAACUCCAAGUUCACGGGUCACCGGGCUUGCCGGGUGACGCUGGCUCCAACAGUUGUCUGCGAGGAUUUGCCCAGGGAGGCUGCGCGGUGCCGAGCGGAUGUACGGCGAGGUCUUCAUAAUGGCGUCAAGUUACCCUGCGAGCGGUGGUGGUCACCUCUGUGGCAGCUGCGCAAGUGGGCGGCGGUGCUGGUGACUCGAGGAGGACGACAAGGAGGUUCUGCCCGUCAGCCAUGGAGCCGCCGUCCGCCGAGGUGUCACCGCAGAGGAGCAGGUGGGCGGGGGGAAGCUCGCCUCGGUGUGCGCAGGUAAGCAGGGGUGCAAGUUGGCAGCUGUGGUGCAAGCUGAGCCCUACGACGGCUGGGGCGCGCGGUGCCCCCCGGCGACGGGGGAGACGGUGGCUGGGCGCGCAGUGCCCGCGGGCGACGGGGUGGAAGACGGGUUGAUUAGCAAGAGAAUUAAAAGGAUAAGGGUUUAUUUGCAAAAUUAUAAAUGAACUAAGCUGAGGACAAGUUUUCCCGGACGGAUAGAUUAUUUGAUACAUAUAAGUAUUGUGCUCAAGAAAACUUAUUUAUCUGCUGUUGCAUACUUCGAUAUCA
Long non-coding RNA from Triticum dicoccoides, 4019 nucleotides. RefSeq lists it as uncharacterized. NCBI's taxonomy places the organism in Eukaryota, Viridiplantae, Streptophyta, Magnoliopsida, Poales, Poaceae. The transcript has 15 exons. The record is from RefSeq and is a predicted model, not a curated record.